This 18-nucleotide transfer RNA is filed under the name Begonia sp. EDNA14_0037206. Its description in RNAcentral is "partial tRNA-Leu". Lineage: Eukaryota; Viridiplantae; Streptophyta; Magnoliopsida; Cucurbitales; Begoniaceae. The record is from RNAcentral.
GCCGCAUGGGGAAACCGG